UCAGGCCUAACACAUGCAAGUCGAGCGGGGUUUUCGGACCUAGCGGCGGACGGGUGAGUAAUGCGUAGGAAGCUACCCGACAGAGGGGGAUACCAGUUGGAAACGACUGUUAAUACCGCAUAAUGUCUACGGACCAAAGUGUGGGACCUUCGGGCCACAUGCUGUCGGAUGCGCCUACGUGGGAUUAGCUAGUUGGUGAGGUAAUGGCUCACCAAGGCGACGAUCUCUAGCUGGUUUGAGAGGAUGAUCAGCCACACUGGAACUGAGACACGGUCCAGACUCCUACGGGAGGCAGCAGUGGGGAAUAUUGGACAAUGGGCGCAAGCCUGAUCCAGACAGUGCCGCGUGUGUGAAGAAGGCCUUCGGG
This 367-nucleotide ribosomal RNA is filed under the name uncultured bacterium. RNAcentral's name for it is "bacterial SSU rRNA". It matches the Rfam family "Bacterial small subunit ribosomal RNA", at positions 42 to 422 of the family's 1533-position model. The record is from RNAcentral.